RNA transcript from Oreochromis aureus, 2788 nucleotides. It is a transcript of the gene named glycosyltransferase 8 domain containing 2, with no coding region annotated. Lineage: Eukaryota; Metazoa; Chordata; Actinopteri; Cichliformes; Cichlidae. The transcript has 11 exons. The record is from RefSeq and is a predicted model, not a curated record.
UUAGCAAAGAAAGAACAUUCAUGGCCAAACUUUCGUUGCCCUUAUAGGAGGGCGUGGCCAUGUGGAUUGUGGGAGAUGUAGUUGUUGUAGCAACGUGAUCACGUUGCUCUUUACAUUAAAGACAGUUUUGGUCGUUUAGAGUCUAAAGGACCAAAAUUGUCUUUAAUGUAAUUAAAUAAUAAAGACACUUUAAGUUAAUAAAUGCUUACUGGCAUAAUGUUAACACAUCCCACGAGGGUAAUUAUCACAGACUUCUUUUUCUUUCUCACAAAAUACCAAAAGUGGAUCAGAUAUUGCCGUCACUGGUCUUUUAAAUAAGAUAAUCCAGCAUCUGGCUAACAAGAAGAAGACCAACAAGACGAGUCACAUCUGGAGGAAAAGGUGGGGGGAGAGAAAAGCGGGUGAGUCUCGGUCCUCAGAGGUUUUACAACACGGACCAUCAGCUCCACGAAUGGGACUAGCUGUAACCUCCACGCUGUUCUUGCUGAUGUCCCUGGAAGCAAAUAUAAAACAUGGCUCUCCUGAGAAAAAUCAAUCGGAUCCUGCUGGUGCUGCUGGUGCUGAUGGUGUGCCUCCUCCUGCGCAGUACACUGCUCAGAGCCUCCACUCGGCCAAGACUCUCAGAGAACAGGAAAAGCCCCAAGAAUUCAGGACAAGUUUCUCCGGAACACGCUGCAGAAGCGCAUGAUGUCGUGCCUGUUGUCAUCUGUGCAUCUGAGGAGCGCAUGGGUGCAUCCAUGGCAACCAUCAACAGCAUCAUCAGCAACACAGACGCCAGUGUUUUCUUCUACGUUGUUACUCUUCGUGAUGCUGUCAAACUCACGAGGAGGUACAUAGAGAAGACAAAACUCAAAGGCAUCCGCUACAAGAUAGUGGAAUUUAAUCCGAUGGUCCUUGUUGGAAAAGUGAAGCCAGAUUCAUCUCGACCUGAUCUCUUACAUCCUCUCAACUUUGUGCGGUUUUACCUGCCUCUGCUCGACAUCCUCCACAAGAGGGUUAUAUACUUAGAUGAUGACAUCAUCGUGCAGGGUGACAUCAGGGAUCUGUUUGAUAUCAAACUGAAGCCAGGACACGCGGCUGCUUUCGCCACAGACUGCGACCUUCCCUCCACACACGAGAUGGUGCGCAGCAUCGGCAUGCAGACAACCUACAUGGGCUUCCUGGACUACAGGAAACAGGAAGUGAAAGACCUGGGCAUCAACCCCAGUGACUGCUCUUUCAACCCUGGAGUGUUUGUGGCAGAUUUGAACGAGUGGAAGAAGCAGAAGAUCACCAAAGAGCUGGAGAAGUGGAUGGAGGAGAAUUUCAGACAAAACAUAUACAGCAGUGCCAUGGCAGGGGGCGUGGCAACUCCACCCAUGCUAAUCGUGUUUCAUGACAAAUACACGAUACUGGACUCUGUGUGGCACGUCAGGCACCUGGGGUGGAGUCCGGAUGUCCAUUACCCUGAGAACUUCCUCCAGGAGGCGCACCUCCUGCACUGGAACGGCCCGUUCAAACCCUGGAACUACCCUGCUGUGCAUUUAGAUCGCUGGGAGAAGUGGUUCAUCCCAGACCCCUCUGGAAGGUUCUCUUUGGAACGUCCUGACCACGACAGCUGAGGUCUGCGGCACCAAGGACCGGUCAGAGGGUCACGUGACACACGCUUACAGUGACGGGGUGAAAGAAUAAAUCCAUGAAUGUAACACUGAAGAACAGCCAGACGCCAAACUGUGACCAGUCUAAAGAAUGUCUGUAACUGGUAACACUCACAGCUUCCUGUCUGCAGAUCUUCAUCUGUCUGGAUCCAGUGCAGGCACAGCUUCUGAACAACUACCACACUCUACACCGCGACACUCGUGUCCCUGUGUGUAAAGAUGUUUUUUACAUUAAACCUGCACUUUACUUUAGUGAUUGCUGCUCACGUUAUGCAAAAGCAAACAGCUGCAGGAGGAAUAGACUGACAGCUUCAUCUAAGAUCUGGAAAAAGUCCAGUUCCUCCAAAGUUUCUCAUUCCUGAAGUCUGUUCCAUCCACCGAAAACUGGACCAGGGCCAAAGUUGAGCCGUUAUAUGGAGGCAGAAAGAGAACUGUUGAUAAGCUGGAGGAGUCGCUCAGAAUCGAGAUGUACGAGCUGUGCAGUGAAGAGGGCCAAGAAGUAUGCAGUGGAUGUGACUCUUGGUCCUGACACAGCAAAUAUCUAUCUCAUCCUUUCUGAUAAUGGGAUGCAAGUCAGCCCUGGAACAGUCAAACAGAAUGUUCCAGGCACCCUAAGAAAUUUUCUGUUAUUCUGUUUGAGGAAAGCAGCAAGAUUUUAGUUUGAGGUUCAGGGCAGAAAGACUGGAUUUUAGCCCAAAGACUGUGAACAGAUAACAGGCAGUGAAUAGCUGCUGUGCUGCACAUUUGGCCUCACGCGGUGGGUGUUUGUGGAUCCUGAAUUGGAGCCGGUCACUUUUAUAAUAUAGAUGGGCCGUAUGAUAAAGUGUUACACAGAACAAAUAAAGUAUGAACUGAAUCAGCUUCCUGUUUUCCUUUGGAAAUAAGUCUGUGAAACUCUUUUAGUAGUGCAACUAAACCACAGAGUAACAUCCCAAAACUGCCAAUAAUCACCAAUGUCAUGCAGAACAAGCUAUAAAAUAGGAUCAGAUGUACAGUGUGGUCACAUUGAUCUUUAUUUUCAACUGUAUAGCUACAUAUUCUUUUCUUCAGGUAUUCACACACGUGUGAUUAUAUUGUGAAUCAUGUGUUUGCAGACGGAGGUUGUUUAAUAACUUCAUAGCUGAUUGUCUUAUUUUUUCACUUGUGUUUGA